This 1169-nucleotide long non-coding RNA is filed under the name Nasonia vitripennis (jewel wasp). Its description in RNAcentral is "uncharacterized LOC103317581, transcript variant X2". Lineage: Eukaryota; Metazoa; Arthropoda; Insecta; Hymenoptera; Pteromalidae. The record is from RNAcentral.
UGCUCUCUACAACGUGCUGCUCCGAAAUGCUGCUUUUGAUCUGCAAAAUAAUGUUCGCGCAACAAAGUGAUACUGAAAAUUCGUGGUUUUAAAAUAGUGUGUUUAAUAUUUCCUACAAAACUAUAGCGAAGAACUCUGUAUCAACCAAAAAAAGUCACUAUUCCGCAGUUCUUCAAAAGGGAGAAAACGUCGGCAAAUGGCGUUGCGUCGAAGAAUUUACAUCAGAUGAAAUAAAAUGACUCCCACUGAGAAGAUUAUUUUGAAAUGGUACAGCACUAAUUCUUUUAUAUUUGAGAAAAAAGAUGAAUGAUAUUAUACGCAUAGUCUGAGACAAGAGCUUUUACAAGAGAUUCAGAAAGAUUUGGUGAAAAAUAACGAACAUUUAUCAGGUCCAGAGAUACAACAGAAGUUCAAGUAUCUGAGAGAUAGUUUUGUCAGAAUCGACAAUAAGAUACAGAAGAGCGAAUCUUUAACUUGAUAUGAACAGAUCAUCUAUGAAAAAAUCUUUUUUCUAAAGUCUCAUAUCACUCAUAAAGUCUAUAAUGAAGAGACAUCUAAAUAUGAAAUUAUGAGCAAUGUUAAAAUUAACGAGUCUACUUUUGAUGCUGGUAUUUCAGAAAAAAAAAGUUUUUUUUUAUAGUGUUAAAACAAUUGAAACUAUUAGAAGUAAAAUUGAAAUUUUGAAUGAUAUUAUUAAAAGUUAGCCGAAUAAUGAACAGCAAAGAUUAUGCUUAUUAUUUAUUCUUAAAUUUAUAUAAUCUAUAUAUAUUAUAUAUCUAUAAGUAUGUAUCAUUAUUCUGAAAGACAAUAAAAUAUUUUGAAAAUUCUACAAUGUAAAAUAUGUUUUGCAUAAAUUCCUAUCAUAAUACGGAUUAUUAUUAUGAUUAUACGUACAUUUUGGAGCAGUAUAGUUCACAGCAAGUUUGCAGAGGACUCUGUGCCCUGUGGGCCCUGAUGCAGUUUUUAGUAAUUCCAGAGUGGAUCAGUGUUGCCGAUAUUUGUUGAUUAUUGCAGUUUUUUACUGUCAAAAUAAAUUUCCAUGUGUGUAUAUAUUACUUGAAUUAAAUUCAUAUGUAUUUAUUUAAUCUUGGAUGAAAAAGUAAGGUCAGUUUUUGUUUUGUAUUAUAAAAUCUGAACUAAAAUAUACGUAUAUAACCUAUUAGAAAAAA